Long non-coding RNA from Eleginops maclovinus (Patagonian blennie), 1214 nucleotides. RefSeq lists it as uncharacterized. NCBI's taxonomy places the organism in Eukaryota, Metazoa, Chordata, Actinopteri, Perciformes, Eleginopidae. The record is from RefSeq and is a predicted model, not a curated record. The transcript has 2 exons.
UGUUCCUUCAUCUUUGUCUCGUCUUUAUAAUAAAGCUUCAGCCUCCUGUGCUUCAUUUUUGCAGACUUCAUGUCAUUCAACAACUCAGGCUGCCCUUCUGUUUAGUGUUUGAGGGGACUUUCACACCCUUCUGAUCCACACACCAGCACUUGCCACGUCGCUUACCUCGAGACGACCAACACUGCACAAACAAAACAAAAAGAAAUAUAGUUUUUCAGCUGGGAUUACAACCAAACAUCUUUGGGACACUUUCAGUCGGGCUGAUGCUGCUCACAUUAGUACAGACUCCCCUGCCUUCCAGCAGGGCACGGAGGGGCCUCAGCUCAUCCUCUGAAGGUGCACAACGCAGACCCUGGGCGCAGCUGAGGGUGUAAACCCCACAUGCUUCUCCAAUGGCAAGAGCAGUGGCAUUUAAAGCUACAACCGGCUGACGCUGUGUGGACUUUGAUUUACAGCUGGGACAUCCUCGGGACGGAGUUGUCAGCUGCACUGGGGUUGAAAGAGCCGGUUGGAGGAGUACCAUCAACAGGAUGUUUAAACACAGAAGCAUCUCACAAUGGAAGUUGUCCACCAAUAUGUUAACAGUCCUAAAAAUGAACUUGUUGUAUCAGGACUUUUGAUCCCUCUUUUGCUCUAUCCUAAUAUAAAUCCCACUGCAGUGUGCCUGUGUUUAGAAAGCUGGAUAGUAAUUCCCUCAAGCCCAGGCAAAGUGAUAAUGAGCCUGACAGACAACACUGGCAGCAGCUUUUAAAGAGUCGAAACCAGUGGGAAAAGGUAUGGGAGGGUACGUGAUGGAGAAUGUUAGUUUUCCCUCUUGUUUUCACACAGCUGAGCACACCCCGUUUCCCUUGUCUCCAAAACUCACUCACGCAUGCUCAUACCAUUUGUUGUCUGUCAUCCUGCAGGAUAGUAAUGUGUUUCUAAAGCCACAUAAAUCACAAGUGUUUGCUAUGUAUGCUACUCCAAUGCUCUGCCUUUUCCCCACUGAGAGGAUAAUUUAUUAACUGAGGCGACGCUUUUAUGUAACCAACCAAUCACGGCUCAGCAGAUGAGAAAUGAUCUGUUUAGGUUUUUAAAUCAUUGCCUUUCAUCAUAAAAACAAACAUAAAUUUAAAUUGUGUUACCUGUAUGUGUGCAAUGUAUUACCACCAGUAGCUGUAGUUGAAAUGACCUCAUGGAAAAGUACAAAAUAAAAUAAACAAGCUAAGCCAUCA